AAGGUAUUAGUAAAAACGAUUACAUUGCUUUGUCAGGGCAAAGUUGUAGGUGGAACUCCUGCAUACCUUA
Molecule: transfer RNA, 70 nt
Filed under: Aplocheilus panchax (blue panchax)
Lineage: Eukaryota; Metazoa; Chordata; Actinopteri; Cyprinodontiformes; Aplocheilidae
Description: tRNA-Asp
Rfam family: tRNA
About the family: Transfer RNA (tRNA) molecules are approximately 80 nucleotides in length. Their secondary structure includes four short double-helical elements and three loops (D, anti-codon, and T loops). Further hydrogen bonds mediate the characteristic L-shaped molecular structure. tRNAs have two regions of fundamental functional importance: the anti-codon, which is responsible for specific mRNA codon recognition, and the 3' end, to which the tRNAs corresponding amino acid is attached (by aminoacyl-tRNA synthetases). tRNAs cope with the degeneracy of the genetic code in two manners: having more than one tRNA (with a specific anti-codon) for a particular amino acid; and 'wobble' base-pairing, i.e. permitting non-standard base-pairing at the 3rd anti-codon position.
Source: RNAcentral